GUAGGUGGCAAGCGUUGUCCGGAAUUAUUGGGCGUAAAGCGCGCGCAGGCGGUUCUUUAAGUCUGAUGUGAAAGCCCACGGCUCAACCGUGGAGGGUCAUUGGAAACUGGAGAACUUGAGUACAGAAGAGGAAAGCGGAAUUCCACGUGUAGCGGUGAAAUGCGUAGAGAUGUGGAGGAACACCAGUGGCGAAGGCGGCUUUCUGGUCUGUAACUGGCGCUGAGGCGCGAAAGCGUGGGGAGCAAACAGGAUUAGAUACCCUGGUAGUCUACGCCGUAAACGAUGAGUGCUAAGUGUUAGGGGGUUUCCGCCCCCCUUAGUGCUGCAGCUAACGCAUUAAGCACUCCGCCUGGGAGUACGGCCGCAAGGCUG
Molecule: ribosomal RNA, 372 nt
Filed under: uncultured organism
Description: partial 16S ribosomal RNA
Rfam family: Bacterial small subunit ribosomal RNA
Source: RNAcentral